This 127-nucleotide small RNA is filed under the name Marmota monax (woodchuck). The record is from RNAcentral. Lineage: Eukaryota; Metazoa; Chordata; Mammalia; Rodentia; Sciuridae.
GUCAGGUAUGGUGGUGCGCACCUGUAAUCCUAGCACCUUGGGAGGCUGAGACAGGAGAAUCGCAAGUUCAAAGCCAGCCUCAGCAACAUAGCGAGGCCCUAAGCAACUCAAUGAGACCCUGUCUCUA